Molecule: ribosomal RNA, 596 nt
Filed under: Nakaseomyces glabratus
Lineage: Eukaryota; Fungi; Ascomycota; Saccharomycetes; Saccharomycetales; Saccharomycetaceae
Description: LSU rRNA
Rfam family: Eukaryotic large subunit ribosomal RNA
Source: RNAcentral
ACCCUGGGGAUGCCUUAGUACGGCGAGUGAGCGGCAAAAGCUCAAAUUUGAAAUCUGGUACCUUUGGUGCCCGAGUUGUAAUUUGGAGAGUACCACUUUGGGACUGUACUUUGCCUAUGUUCCUUGGAACAGGACGUCAUGGAGGGUGAGAAUCCCGUGUGGCGAGGGUGUCAGUUCUUUGUAAAGGGUGCUCGAAGAGUCGAGUUGUUUGGGAAUGCAGCUCUAAGUGGGUGGUAAAUUCCAUCUAAAGCUAAAUACAGGCGAGAGACCGAUAGCGAACAAGUACAGUGAUGGAAAGAUGAAAAGAACUUUGAAAAGAGAGUGAAAAAGUACGUGAAAUUGUUGAAAGGGAAGGGCAUUUGAUCAGACAUGGUGUUUUGCGCCCCUUGCCUCUCGUGGGCUUGGGACUCUCGCAGCUCACUGGGCCAGCAUCGGUUUUGGCGGCCGGAAAAAACCUAGGGAAUGUGGCUCUGCGCCUCGGUGUAGAGUGUUAUAGCCCUGGGGAAUACGGCCAGCCGGGACCGAGGACUGCGAUACUUGUUAUCUAGGAUGCUGGCAUAAUGGUUAUAUGCCGCCCGUCUUGAAMCMACGGACMA